RNAcentral lists this unclassified non-coding RNA (171 nucleotides) under uncultured Gymnostellatospora. Its description in RNAcentral is "sequence contains ITS1". The record is from RNAcentral. Lineage: Eukaryota; Fungi; Ascomycota; Leotiomycetes; Myxotrichaceae.
AAGUUAUAGUCCCCCGGCCCUCCGGCCGGGGUCCUCUAUACCACCCUUUGUUUAUUACACCUUUGUUGCUUUGGCAGGCCUGCCCUCGGGCUGCUGGCUCCGGCCGGCGAGCGCCUGCCAGAGGACCUAAACUCUGUUUGUCUAUAAUGUCUGAGUACUAUAUAAUAGUUA